UCGUAAACCGCCCGUCUUGUAACACGGACCAAGGAGUCUAACAUCUAUGCGAGUGUUCGGGUGUCAAACCCCUACGCGUAAUGAAAGUGAACGGAGGUGAGAACCGCAAGGUGCAUCAUCGACCGAUCCUGAUGUCUUCGGAUGGAUUUGAGUAAGAGCAUAGCUGUUGGGACCCGAAAGAUGGUGAACUAUGCCUGAAUAGGGUGAAGCCAGAGGAAACUCUGGUGGAGGCUCGCAGCGGUUCUGACGUGCAAAUCGAUCGGGAGACAUGGGUAUAGGGGCG
Molecule: ribosomal RNA, 283 nt
Filed under: Schizochytrium aggregatum
Lineage: Eukaryota; Bigyra; Thraustochytrida; Thraustochytriidae
Description: partial Eukaryotic large subunit ribosomal RNA
Rfam family: Eukaryotic large subunit ribosomal RNA
Source: RNAcentral